AAUGAGGUGCCUGAGAAUAGGGUUAUCUUGAUAGGAUAAAUUACGUAUAAAUAAUACCCCCAUUA
Molecule: transfer RNA, 65 nt
Filed under: Sambus femoralis
Lineage: Eukaryota; Metazoa; Arthropoda; Insecta; Coleoptera; Buprestidae
Description: tRNA-Ile
Source: RNAcentral